This 2538-nucleotide long non-coding RNA is filed under the name Sus scrofa (pig). RNAcentral's name for it is "lncRNA (ENSSSCG00055006138.1)". The record is from RNAcentral. Lineage: Eukaryota; Metazoa; Chordata; Mammalia; Artiodactyla; Suidae.
AGAAGUCCUGCUCUGAAAAUAUGUGCAGAAUGACCGUUUCUGCCCGCCUCCCCCAAGGUAAUGUUUCAUACACAUUUAGGGAAGAGGCUUGGAGGCUAUGCCCAUAUCCUGUUUCUCAGAUUUUUGCCCGGUUGCUGGAAACGGUUAUUAGGGGUUGUUUGCUUAAUGGUGAUGUUCUCUUUCCCUCAUUCCUUUAUUCUUAAUAGGACUUUUUUUUUCUUUUUUUUUUUUCUUUUUAAGGCUGCACCUGGGGCAUAUGCAGGUUCCCAGGCUAGGGGUUGAAUCGGAGCUGCCGCUGCCAGCCUACGUCACAGCCACAGCAACACGGGAUCUGAGCCAUGUCUGUGACCUACACCACAGCUCACGGCAGUGCCAGAUCCUUUACCCACUGAGCGAGGCCAGGGAUCGAACCCGCAACCUCAUGGUUCCUAGUCAGAUUCAGAUGUCUUUCCGCCGAGCCACGAACGGGAGCUCCCAAUAAGACUUAUUGGGAAAGUCUUAUGUAGGAAAACAUUGGUUUAUUGUCUGACCAUUUACUUGAAUGUUUUUAUCAGUAUGGCCUCAGACAUUGCGGUCUUUGGAAGAUUAGCCGGCACCGUCACUUCAUUUAAUGGCACCUUCACUCUGUUGAUGAUGAAAGCCGAUGCUCUUCCUCAGGUCAUUCCAGCUCCGGCCGUGGGGCCCCGCUCAGACGCGCGCCUGUCUCCUGGUGAAAUCCUGGAGGCUGUCCUUUCCACCGUCCUGUCUGCACGAGGAGGACACAGGGGUCAGCUUCCUGGGAGAAGGGAGUCGUCCGGAUGGCUGGUCCCCGGAGGGGUGACUUACUGCAUGAACAUCGAAAUCAGAUGAACCCUGACGGCGACAGCGAUGGUAAUAGCGCCACUGGCGGGGUGUAUGGGGGGGUAGCGGGCAAAGCCCGUGGGGCAAAUGUCUUUCUUAAACCCUCCUCAUAAAUCUAAGAUCUCACUGUCACCCACGAGGGGACGGAGCCCGGGGCCUCGGGACCUGAGCUGGUUCUCUGGGUGAGAGGAGGAGGAGGCUUCCUGGGGGGCCGUGUGCCUUUGGCCCGCGUCCUUCACGGUGGCUCUGUCCUCUGGGGGCAGCUGAUCGAACGGGCCUUUCUGUGUGGACAUCACUUGUUCCCAGUGGAGCCCUGGGGGCUAAAAAUAACCAUGUGUUUUCUGUUUUAUCCAAAAAAGAGGAACUGUGCAGUGUGUUUCAUAACAUCUACUAUUUUUGAAAACCUGAAUUUUUUCCACUUUUUUUUAAAUGCCUUUGGGGCUGUCCUUGGAGGGAGAGGCUUUGGUGGAGGUUUCACCAGGGGUCCCUCUGUUUGGUCGUCCAGAUCCUCAGGAAAUGGCUGCAGGAGAAGGGAACUGUCCCCCCGCACACAUGGCCAAGGGGUGGACUUAACACAGGGGUCAUGGGAGGGGAGCCAGAUCUCAGGGGCACCUGAGACCUCAUAGCACAGGCUGGAGGGGAGAAGGGACCGGCCCAGGGGCUGGGCAGGCCUGUUCCGUGUACAGGGGGAGGCGUGCUGACCCCGGCCACAUGCUGCCUCCACGACAGCCAGGCCUCGUGGUCCAGGCUCAGCGUCCAUCUUUCCCCUGACCCCGCUCUCCCAGGUUGGGGCAAGGCCUGAUGCUCCUAAGAUGAGCCACGAGCCAUGAGCCCCCGGGUCCCGGUUGUUCUUGGGUUCCUCUGUUGUUGGCAACCAGGCUAAGAUGGUCAUCCUGGGGUCUGCUGAUGCUAGGGUGGCUCCCUGCCCUUCUCACUGAGACUCUGGAGCGUUAGGAAAUCAUGGAAAGAGCAAACACAGUGAAAGACACGUCGCCCGCAGCCCAGGAAGCUGGAAUGUGGGUGUGGCAUCCCUGAGACCACGCGGGUGUUUCUGGGUGAGCCAAGGGCAGAGGGACCAGGCGGGUGUGGGAGUGGCUGGACGCCAAGAGGACCUGCCCACUGCUGCAACCCAAGGGCAGAGUGGGCCCUUCACACGUGACGUGGCUGCCAGCAUCUGCAGAGGUGAGCAGAGGCAUGGGGCGGAGCAGGAGGUGUUAGAAUGUGUGGCAAGAGCACGAUUCCUCUAGAGUCGGCAGUAAUUUGGAGACUGGAACAGGGACAGACUGACACCUGAUCUCAGUAGACAAGCCAGGAGCAGACCCUUACGGGAAGGCCGAGGCUGUGGCACCAAGCUUAUAGAAACCGUGAGGGAGGGCAGCUGUGCCUGGAGAGCAGAUUAAUUCUGGGCUGCAGGACUCUGGAUAAGUUAAAGAAAAAGUGCAUCUGCAUCUUUCUAAACCAACUGUGGGGAGUUCCCAUUGUGGCACAGUCAAGACAAAUCCGACUAGGAACCAUGAGGUUGCGGGUUCGAUCCUUGGCCUCGCUCUGUGGGUUAAGGAUCUGACAUUGCCGUGAGCUGUGGUGUAGGUUGCAGACACGGCUCGGAUCCUGCGUGGCUGUGGCUGUGGCGAAGGCUGGCGGCUACAGCUUGGAUUGGACCGCUAGCCUGUGAACCUCCAUGUGCCGUGGGUGCUGGCC